UUUUUUGAGAAAGUAUAAAUGAAUUAAAAUUCAACAUAAACGUUAAGAAAAUAAUUAUUAUGAUAAGGCAAAUACUACAUGUAAAACUUAUACGGCACCAAUUUUGAUGCACCAGAUGCGCAUUUCGACAAAUAAUGUCUCUUCAGUGAUGCUCAACCGAAAUGUUUGAAAUCCAAAAUAACUAUGAAGUUUUGGAGCUAAAUAUAGCCAAAAACAGCGUGUCAAAAAGUGGAACCCAAUUCGUCCAAGGAUAAGAGCUAUGCACGAGGGAGAUAAUCCUUAAUUUUGAAAUGAAUUUCUAAAUUUUAUAACAGCAAUUAAAUAUACAUCCGUAUUUUCAAGCUAGUAACGAAGUACUAAGCUACUGGGCUGUAGAGACCCUCGGGGACUAACAGUCCACCAGCAGAGGCCUCGACCCAGGGGUCAUAAUGUAAAACUUAUACGGUACCAAUUUUGAUGCACCAGAUGCGCAUUUCGACAAAUAAUGUCUCUUCAGUGAUGCUCAACCGAAAUGUUUGAAAUCCAAAAUAACUAUGAAGUUUUGGAGCUAAAUAUAGCCAAAAACAGCGUGCCAAAAAUGUGGAGCCAAAUUCGUCCAAGGAUAAGAGCUAUGCACGAGGGAGAUAAUCCUUAAUUUUGAAAUGAAUUUCUAAAUUUUAUAACAGCAAUUAAAUAUACAUCCGUAUUUUCAAGCUAGUAACGAAGUACUAAGCUACUGGGCUGUAGAGACCCUCGGGGACUAACAGUCCACCAGCAGAGGCCUCGACCCAGGGGUCAUAAUGUAAAACUUAUACGGUACCAAUUUUGAUGUACCAGAUGCGCAUUUCGACAAAUAAUGUCUCUUUUGUGAUGCUCAACCGAAAUGUUUGAAAUCCAAAAUAACUAUGAAGUUUUGGAGGUAAAGAUAGCCAAAAACAGCGUGCCAAAAAAGUGGAGCCAAAUUCGUCCAAGGAUAAGAGCUAUGCACGAGGGAGAUAAUCCUUAAUUUUGAAAUGAAUUUCUAAAUUUUAUAACAGCAAUUAAAUAUACAUCCGUAUUUUCAAGCUAGUAACGAAGUACUAAGCUACUGGGCUGUAGAGACCCUCGGGGACUAACAGUCCACCAGCAGAUGCCUCGACCAAGGGGUCAUAAUGUAAAACUUAUACGGUACCAAUUUUGAUGCACCAGAUGCGCAUUUCGACAAAUAAUGUCUCUUCAGUGAUGCUCAACCGAAAUGUUUGAAAUCCGAAAUAACAAUGAAGUUUUAGAGCUAUUACAGUCAAAAUCAGCGUGCCAAAAAAAAAGUGGAGUCAAAUUCGUCUAAGGAUAAGAGCUAUGCACGAGGGAGAUAAUCCUUAAUUUUGAAAUAAAUUUCUAAAUUUUAUAACAGCAAUUAAAUAUACAUCCGUAUUACAUGUGUAAGGACGAACGAGUUAUAUGGAGAACGAUGUUUAUAGGAAUCAGACUUUGGCGAACGAUAUCUAUUCCCAAACUAGUUUUAUCUAAACUCAAACUUUGUGUUUUGCCUAUGGUGUAUGUAUAAUUAUACCUGCUGGGUUAUUUCGUAUGUUAUUUGUGUUCUGCAGCAAGAAUUCAGAUAAUGUUUUAUAAAUGGAUUUUAUAUUGAUGCUGACAAUACUGGUAAGUAAAUAUUUUAAAUUUUACGACCGCUGGUGGGCCUAACCGAAUCUUACGAGACGAAGCUUAAAGUGUCCCGGAAGUCAAAUAUACAUUUUGGUUUAUCUUAUGUAUUUUUAAAAAUAAAUACCGAUAGUAAAAUUAUUUCAGUUAUUUUUUAAUCAAUAAACGAUAUAAUGGGCAAAAACAACCUUCUUCGUAAAUUCACACCUUUACGAUACCGAAAACGAGACUGAAAAUGUAAUACCGGAUCUGACGUCACAACCCAUCAUUGGCGGUUUCUUCACAACAAGACGAGAGUAUAAAAGAAGAAAAUAUUCGAAGAGAAAUGGCAAGUAAGAGUAAGGGACGCAUGUGUGUAGUUGUAGGAAGCAACAACAGGCCCUCGGACACCGUUUCCGUCCAUGUUUUCCCGAAGGACGAGCGACAGAGAGCAGCAUAGACUCGAUUUGUGAGACUGACCCGUGCAGACUGGACAGGAUCGUCCCAGUAUACUGUUGUUUGUAGUGCGCAUUUCACGGACGGAUGUUUCCAGCCUCAGUUUUCACUGAUGAGAGAAUUUGUAAUUCCUGCGAAAAAACGUCUCUGCUCUGGUACAAUUCUAUCGCUUUAUCCUAAGAGGAAAGUGGACGACCUCAACCAUGCCUUCCUCUCUUCGCCCGAGCCUAAACCCAAGCGCCAGGCUGCCAUCAAGCUGGAGAAAAAUAGGGUAGGUCGUGUGUAACUUUAUUAUGAAGAUUCCAUCGGUAAGAAAGUUGAUAAUUUUUAUUGCAGUCUGUGACGUUUAUUAACUUUUUUCACUUUAUAAGUUACAAUACACGUACUAUAUGACGAGUUUCUAACAUGCCCCCAUCUGAUCAGGACCCUGAAUUAGAUUGCCGUUUAAACUUAUUCUGUCAUAUAGAUCCACUGACCUAUCUUAGUAAUGUUAUCAAGAACUUUGCAUAAUUUAAAUAUACAUAGACUUCUAUUACUCUUUUAGUGGGCAAUAUUAUUUUUCCAACACGAUUAAAUGUUAACAUUGCAAAGAUACCAAUUCUGAUCAAUCAAGUGAAGGCUGAGGGGUGUAGAGUGGGUGGCCUGUAACCCCUGUUAUAACUCCUACAUGUACAUCCUUUGGAUUUAUACGUUAAUGAAAAUUAAAUUAAAUUAUUUCCAAAAAUGACAUGUGAUGGAAACCCCUCUUCACUAAUUUAAUUUACACAAAUCAUGGGCAGAUCCAGGAAUUUUGGAAGGGGGGGGGGUUAUACCAUUAUUAGAUUUUAGUUGUUAAAGGGGGGUUCCACCAUCUGUAUGUGUGGGUGUUUUUUAGCAACAUUUUCUGAUGAAAGGGGAGGGUUCCGACCUUCGGGAUACCCCCCCCCCCCCUCUGAAUGAUCAGGAUUCCCCCACUGCAAAUUAUUUCAAUAUUUACAUGGGGACAUUUUAUUUCAAAAUAAUAAAAGAAUUACAGUAAAUACAUUAUAAAGCACUAUCGUAACAAUUAUUUCAUCCUUUUUUAUUGGGAAAGGUUGAUGAUUGCUGCUCUACAUUUUAAUGAGAAUUCCUCAAGGCUGCAUGACAUAACGAAGGAGGGGGACGAACAAUUUAAAAUCAGCUUCCCAGAGUUCAAGUGUUCGUAGGAAGCCUGUUGAUCCAACAAUUACCCAUCAGUCCUGAUGAAGGAGACUUAUUUGGUUUUUCAAGGGUCAUCAGAACCAUUACCAUGCUCAUUGUCAGCUCAACCACCUCCACUGUGCAGUGAAUUUUUCCAUCCUGAUAAAGAAGAAGCGGUGCUACAUUUUACAUCGAGGUUCAGUCGGAAGGAGACAUCCGUGUGAAUGUGAACAAAACGCAAUACUAGCUAUUUGGACAUUCUAGCAAACCAGAUAAAAAUAUGUUGGUCAUACAGAUGUACUCUAUUUUAAUCUUGUUUAAAAACGUUAAAUCAUUGUGAAACACUUUUAUCUUUGGUUUUGUUUAAAUUUGAACCAAAGUCAUAUAGAGUAGUAGGUUGUGAAAACAAAUUUUGUUAUUUUUUACAAAUAAAAAAAGACUGGGAACAACCAUGAUAUAGGGUCUGACCGUUGGGUAACAAUCUGUUUGGUCUUGCAUGCAACAGUGUAUUUUUGCAAAUAAUUUAUAGAAUGAAAUAUUAGCAUAGUAUAUGUAGUAUUAGCUUAGUAUAUAUAAUAGUUGUAAGAGUUAAAAAAUGGGAACAUGAAAGCAGCGUCCUCGUCCCGUUCCUGGGUGCGGACACAUUUAUUUGAAAUAUUGUUUGUAUAGCUGAUGCUUUCUAGAUAAUUGAUGUAUUAUUUUUGGGCCAUUUCUGUUAGAAUGUUGUGCUUGAAUUUUUUUGUAUGCAUCAUGUAUGAAUCGUACAUUUGUUUUAAAAAAAGUUGCUUCAACUAAAUCAUACCAUCACUCAGGUGCUUUGAAUCCUUGAUAUUCCUCAGAGGCAAAGGAAUUCGUCACAGCACAUGAGGGUAGAGGGACUCGCACCUUGUGGCCUAGGUAUCCUUAGCACCAUCAAACAAAUUGUCUGUGUGUUAUGUAUCUGUUACGCCUGUAAUUCCGGGAAAUGUUUGGAAUUAUUCACUAAUGAUAAACUAGCAAUCGGACCCAAUGGUCAUGUGAAUUUUGUAUUGAUUAAAUCAAUAAAAAAUUUGACUUGCUC
Ostrea edulis (European flat oyster) is the source of this 4273-nucleotide long non-coding RNA. RefSeq lists it as uncharacterized. The transcript has 2 exons. Lineage: Eukaryota; Metazoa; Mollusca; Bivalvia; Ostreida; Ostreidae. The record is from RefSeq and is a predicted model, not a curated record.